UGAAAUAAAAAAGAAAACUUAAAAACCUACAUCACUGAUGUGAUGUUUUCCUAGAGUGUUUGUUUUUGCACUAUCUAAAUAUGGAAAAAGUGAAAAGAGUUAAAUCCAUUUGCUGGUUUGUUUUUGGCAAAAAAAUACAGAAUCAGUGUAAAAUGUCCAGAAUUAUUUUGUUCAACAGUAGCGCUGAUGCGGAUUCCAUCGACGGAAUCGACACGAUCUGCUGUCGAACUGGCCGAGCUCUUUCAGCAAAAUGGCUGGGAUCUGAGACGCUGGGACUAGAUAAAAUGACCGAAACCAGACGGGUGCUUCACAGAACAAAACAAGCAAUGUUUUCCCGGGACGGUGCACUACGCGGUUCCGUCACGAUUCCCGUUAAUCGGAAGCUAAAAUGCUGACGUGUUUGCAAAUCGGAACCCAUCGGAAAAUAUUUCUUUAACGCCUGAAAAUUUAUUUGUGAGAAGUGUUGAAGUGUGGAAUUACAACUGAACCUUUCCCUAAUGCGAAAUAAUAAAAUAAGUUGAUUAAAAGUACA
Long non-coding RNA from Aedes aegypti (yellow fever mosquito), 532 nucleotides. RefSeq lists it as uncharacterized. NCBI's taxonomy places the organism in Eukaryota, Metazoa, Arthropoda, Insecta, Diptera, Culicidae. The transcript has 2 exons. The record is from RefSeq and is a predicted model, not a curated record.